RNAcentral lists this ribosomal RNA (486 nucleotides) under Triticum aestivum (bread wheat). Its description in RNAcentral is "partial small subunit ribosomal RNA". Lineage: Eukaryota; Viridiplantae; Streptophyta; Magnoliopsida; Poales; Poaceae. The record is from RNAcentral.
AUGAUUUGGACGGAAUUGGAGACCGUGUCCAAUGUAAUCGAGUUGGAGUCUGUGUUCUUCUCCAACACAAAAGCAUGUAGUGCCCGACCCGGAUUGGACCGGGCUGCCAUAAAAGAAGGAAGGAUCCUCGACCGAAACGUCCAUCAGGCCGCGUCCCUCGACCAAAAUCUCCAUCAAAUCCCAUCGCAUUGCAACUUUCAGAGGAACGUCCAAUGUCGCCGGCGGAGGAAAAUCAUCCGUCGAGCCGUACUAUGCCGAGUUCGCCGGGGGAAGAAGAACACCCGUCGAGUCGCCCAUCGCCUAAGGUGGCUACACCAUAGGUGCCAGAGGCGUCCGAUCGAACUCAGGUGGAGCCCAAAGAGGUUCGGCUGUCAGAUAUGUCAGCAAUCACUCUCGAUGACACUGACAUGCAGAUUAAAUCUUGUGAUCUUGGAGCUCAUUUCGCUGACCUGGAGAAGCAGCAGAUCCAACUCAACCUCGAUCUAG